Molecule: long non-coding RNA, 1463 nt
Filed under: Equus asinus (donkey)
Lineage: Eukaryota; Metazoa; Chordata; Mammalia; Perissodactyla; Equidae
Description: lncRNA (ENSEASG00005032004.1)
Source: RNAcentral
UCAGCUUCUGUCUUGGAAAGUGGGCUCUGCCAGUAAGGCUAGAAUCUGGAGAAGGCUGUUGGAGAUAGGAGUAAAAGGUACCCGUGCUGUGAAGAGAGAAGAGUCUGCAAUGCCCAAUGCACGACUAGGCAGGAUCUGGAUGACAUUACAAUCAUUCAAGAUGAGACAGGAAAACAUUAGCGCAACGUUAGUUUGAAGGGGAAGGAAGGAAAACCCUGAAUAGGUUAAAACACAUGCAGAAGAAGAGUCAAAUGUAAUGCCAUCUCAUGUACUUCAGAGAACCCUCCGUGAUAUUCAUGAUGAAGAGGUCCUGUUAAUCCUACCAAAAAGAAACUUACUAAAGAUGCAAGUAAGUAGAAUUCAAAACAGACAUCUACCUCCACACCCAACUUCAUUGCAUGGAAUUGAAAUUCCAGAGGACUACAAAGUGACUAGACGUGGAGAACAAUUUUUUAUCCAUGAUUUCGGUGCUCAAGAUCAUGAAAGAAUUCUUAUUUACAGAACUUAGGACAGUAUUCGAUAUUUAAGUGCCAAUACCACAUUAUUCAGUGAUGGCACCAACACAGUUCACUCAGUUAUUUACUGUGCAUGGUAUAGUAUUGGGUUAUACUAUGCCAUUGACUUACACUUUACUAUGAAAAAGUGAAAAGAUACAGAUGUAUAUAUGUGAGGAAGUACCUUCACUUGCACGCGAAAGAAACCUCAACAUGAACACGUCAUUGUGCAUGAUGAAUUUUGAGAUUGCAAAUAUGAAUGUGAUUUGACUACUCCUACCAAAUGCACAGUAACAGGAUGUUUGUUUCACUUUUCACAAUCACUGUGGCGAAAAAUAUCUUCUUUAGGUCUAACACAAGUAUUUGACAAUGGAAAGUAACACCUGUAAGUGUGCAUCCAUGUUGUUUGGACUUUGAUCUGUGCCUUUGGAAGAUGUAAAUGAAACUUUUGAGUAUAUUGUGGAGAAUGCAGAAGAAAAUUUAGAUGAGCUAAUGGGCUGUGUUGAGAGAGUAUAUAUCAGUGGAAGGCAUGGCAGGGGCAAAAGAGGAUGAGAAGCUUCAAGAUUUCCACUAGAAACUCAAAAUAUUUAUACAGCAAUACUGAACAGUGGUCACAGGAUGAACAAUGCAGUGGAAGGCUGGUAUGGCAGAUUUCAAAAGCUGAUGGUAGUGCCUCAUCCUUCAAUUUGGAGAUAUUGGAGUGUUAAAAGAAACAGCAAAGCAAUGAACAAGUUAUCGCCCAGGUUCUGGGUGGUCACACUCAAAUAUGGCCACCAACUUCACAAUAGCAACAAAAUCAAAUUUGUAUAACAGAGAUUGUUAGCAGAUAUAUCGAAUGUAAAGCCAAUAAUCAGGUCAAUAUAUACUUGAGAGCAAUUGCUCGUCGACUUAAGAGUAACCCUGCCAAACUUCAUGACGAAGAAGAACAAAUGUGAAAUCCAGAAUUCAUCAUGAAUUACAUAAAAUAAU